GGUGCCACACCGGCCUCAAUUCUAGGCCUCCUACUUCAUUCCAGCUUUGGCCAGAGGACCUCUACUGAGGGCAACGGAGCACUUAUCCAGCUACCUGCAAAGAAGAUAACUUUAUGUAAAGCAGCUAGCAGGAACUGAUUGGCAUCUUGACUCCCAAGAGAGUGCCAGCUUCCAAGGGAGAAUGGCAGGCCAUCCCAAGUCAAGCAUCUACACCGAUCCAGUCAUCUUGGGCUGCAAGAGCAGAGCUAUAAAUAUAGAAGUUCUCCAUUUAGAGAUUCUGCUUCUUGGUUAUUAUAUCGAGUGUGCAGUAUUGUGUCAUUGAGCGAAUCAAGAAUUUGAGGCACAGGGAGUUGAUAGUGAUGGAUGAAAGAUCUGAAGCCUGUGUUGUUUCCAGUGUGCAAGAGAUAACCAUAAUAAUGGACAGAGGAGAUACUGGAGUGGAAAGGAAACUAAGAGAUGUUCUUCUCAAACCUCUCACCCAAUGCAGAAGUCACCUUGACAGAUCCAUCAUAUAAUCAAGCAAAGGCUUUACUGCCUA
Molecule: long non-coding RNA, 538 nt
Organism: Neofelis nebulosa (Clouded leopard)
Lineage: Eukaryota; Metazoa; Chordata; Mammalia; Carnivora; Felidae
Exons: 5
Source: RefSeq, a predicted model, not a curated record